RNAcentral lists this ribosomal RNA (650 nucleotides) under uncultured soil bacterium. Its description in RNAcentral is "bacterial SSU rRNA". It matches the Rfam family "Bacterial small subunit ribosomal RNA", at positions 35 to 730 of the family's 1533-position model. The record is from RNAcentral.
GCUGGCGGCAGGCCUAACACAUGCAAGUCGAGCGGUCGUAGCAAUACGGCAGCGGCAGACGGGAGAGUAACACGUGGGAACGCGCCCUUCGGUUCGGGAUAACCCAGGGAAACUUGGGCUAAUACCGGAUACGCCCUUACGGGGAAAGAUUUAUUGCCGAAGGAACGGCCCGCGUCCGAUUAGCUAGUUGGUGAGGUAACGGCUCACCAAGGCGACGAUCGGUAGCUGGUCUGAGAGGAUGACCAGCCUCACUGGGACUGAGACACGGCCCAGACUCCUACGGGAGGCAGCAGUGGGGAAUAUUGGACAAUGGGCGCAAGCCUGAUCCAGCCAUGCCGCAUGGGUGAUGAAGGCCCUAGGGUUGUAAAGCCCUUUCAGCGGGGAAGAUAAUGACGGUACCCGCAGAAGAAGCCCCGGCUAACUUCGUGCAGCAGCCGCGGUAAUACGAAGGGGGCUAGCGUUGCUCGGAAUUACUGGGCGUAAAGCGCACGUAGGCGGCUUUCUAAGUCGGGGGUGAAAUCCUGGAGCUCAACUCCAGAACUGCCUUCGAUACUGGAAAGCUCGAGUCCGGGAGAGGUGAGUGGAACUGCGAGUGUAGAGGUGAAAUUCGUAGAUAUUCGCAAGAACACCAGUGGCGAAGGCGGCUCACU